UUCUCUUAUGGAUAGGUGCAAAAAAUAAAUCCUCUUUUGCAACCCAGAACUCAUUGUUCAGUAUGAGUUUUGAUACAUAUAAGAAGGGAUAUU
Small nucleolar RNA from Callithrix jacchus (white-tufted-ear marmoset), 93 nucleotides. NCBI's taxonomy places the organism in Eukaryota, Metazoa, Chordata, Mammalia, Primates, Cebidae. The record is from Ensembl.